AGGACUGAUACAACAGGACUGAUACAGGACUGAUACAACAGGACUAAUACAACAGGACUGAUACAACAGGACUGAUACAACAGGACUAUUACAACAGGACUGAUACAACAGGACUGAUACAACAGGACUGAUACAACAGGACAAACACAACAGGACUGAUACAACAGGACUGAUACAGGACUGAUACAACAGGACUGAUACAACAGGACUAAUACAACAGGACUGAUACAACAGGACUAAUACAACAGGACUGAUACAGGACUGAUACAGGACUGAUACAGGACUGAUACAACAGGACUAAUACAACUGGACUGAUACAACAGGACUGAUACAGGACUGAUACAGGACUGAUACAGGACUGAUACAACAGGACUGAUACUGGACUGAUACAACAGAACUGAUACAACUGGACUAAUACAACAGGACUAAUACAACAGGACUAAUACAACAGGACUGAUACAACUGGACUGAUACAACAGGACUAAUACAACAGGACUGGUACAGGACUAAUACCACAGGACUGAUACAACAGGACUGAUACAGGACUGAUACAGGACUAAUACCACAGGACUGAUACAACAGGACUAAUACCACAGGACUGAUACAACAGGACUGGUACAGGACUAAUACCACAGGACUGAUACAACAGGACUGAUACAACAGGACUGAUACAACAGGACUAAUACAACAGGACUGAUACAACAGGACUGAUACAACAGGACUGAUACAACAGGACAAACACAACAGGACUGAUACAACAGGACUGAUACAGGACUGAUACAACAGGACUGAUACAACAGGACUAAUACAACAGGACUGAUACAACAGGACUAAUACAACAGGACUGAUACAGGACUGAUACAGGACUGAUACAGGACUGAUACAACAGGACUAAUACAACUGGACUGAUACAACAGGACUGAUACAGGACUGAUACAGGACUGAUACAGGACUGAUACAACAGGACUGAUACUGGACUGAUACAACAGAACUGAUACAACUGGACUAAUACAACAGGACUAAUACAACAGGACUAAUACAACAGGACUGAUACAACUGGACUGAUACAACAGGACUAAUACAACAGGACUGGUACAGGACUAAUACCACAGGACUGAUACAACAGGACUGAUACAGGACUGAUACAGGACUAAUACCACAGGACUGAUACAACAGGACUAAUACCACAGGACUGAUACAACAGGACUGGUACAGGACUAAUACCACAGGACUGAUACAACAGGACUGAUACAACAGGACUGAUACAACAGGACUAAUACAACAGGACUGAUACAGGACUGAUACAACAGGACUAAUACAACAGGACUAAUACAACAGGACUGAUACAGGACUGAUACAACAGGACUGAUACAACAGGACUAAUACCACAGGACUGAUACAACAGGACUGAUACAACAGGACUGGUACAACAGGACUGAUACAACAGGACUGAUACAACAGGACUAAUACCACAGGACUGAUACAACAGGACUGAUACAACAGGAC
This 1506-nucleotide long non-coding RNA is filed under the name Salmo salar (Atlantic salmon). RNAcentral's name for it is "lncRNA (ENSSSAG00000087520.1)". Lineage: Eukaryota; Metazoa; Chordata; Actinopteri; Salmoniformes; Salmonidae. The record is from RNAcentral.